RNAcentral lists this long non-coding RNA (222 nucleotides) under Nicotiana benthamiana. Its description in RNAcentral is "long non-coding RNA (NBEN_LNC000662)". Lineage: Eukaryota; Viridiplantae; Streptophyta; Magnoliopsida; Solanales; Solanaceae. The record is from RNAcentral.
AAAAAAAAAAAAAAAAAAAAAAAGAACUCCCAACAUAAAGAGCCCCUAAUCGAGCAUCAGAAAGAGAAGGACAGUCAAAACUCCCCCCCUCCCCCCCAACAUAAACCCUAUCUAAAUCAGCCGACGGCCGGUAUGAGUCGGUCAGUUGACGAUCUAGGAACGAAGCCAGAUCUGUCUAAGAAGCCUAUCUUCCUUACUAAAGCACAGCGAGAGGAGUUAGCC